RNAcentral lists this ribosomal RNA (245 nucleotides) under uncultured bacterium. Its description in RNAcentral is "partial small subunit ribosomal RNA". It matches the Rfam family "Bacterial small subunit ribosomal RNA", at positions 26 to 285 of the family's 1533-position model. The record is from RNAcentral.
AGAAUCAACGCUGGCGGCGUGCCUAACACAUGCAAGUCGCACGAGAAAGGGACUUCGGUCCUGAGUACAGUGGCGCACGGGUGAGUAACACGUGAAUCAUCUACCUCCGAGUGGGGAAUAAACUGAGAGAAAUCUUAGCUAAUACCGCAUAACACUUACGAGUCAAAGCAGCAAUGCGCUUGGAGAGGAGUUCGCGGCAGAUUAGUUAGUUGGCGGGGUAAUGGCCACCAAGACGAUGAUCUGUA